GCGCUCAUGGUGAAAUGGAUAUCACGGAGGUCUACGGAACCUCAAUUUGGGGUUCGAGUCCCUAUGGGCGCGCCA
Molecule: transfer RNA, 75 nt
Filed under: Clostridiales bacterium
Lineage: Bacteria; Bacillati; Bacillota; Clostridia; Eubacteriales
Description: tRNA-Arg
Rfam family: tRNA
About the family: Transfer RNA (tRNA) molecules are approximately 80 nucleotides in length. Their secondary structure includes four short double-helical elements and three loops (D, anti-codon, and T loops).
Source: RNAcentral